AAAUUUUAUAUAAAAUUAUAUAAAAUAAAAAUAUAUAAAAUAAAAUUAUAUAUAAAUAAAAAUUAUUUAUAUAUAUCCCCUCUUUUUAUAUAUAUACAUACAAAAUAUGUACAUAUAUAUGUACAUAUACACACACAUAUAUGUAUACAUAUAUACGCACCUACAAGGACGGACUUGGUACAAAGAGACAGGUAUGGUUAGAGAGCUGGAGAAGAUAACUACUCAAAGAGAAAGAGGAGGUGGGGAGGUAACAUCGUGAAUAAGAGAAAAGUGUUAAAAUAUGUAUUCAAUGACAGUUAUUGAAUAUAAAUAUGAAUAAUGGGUCAAUAUUCAAUGACUGUUAAAAACCAGAAGGAAUGGUACUGGAAGUGCUAGUGGAAAAAAAUAAAUUUAAAAUUUAAAAACCAGAAAGAAGACUUUUCCAAGUGGGGAAACUACUGUGAAGGGCAUAGGCACCACUAUGAGGUUUUGCAGUGAGGGAGGGAAAGAGCCUGGCCUCGACUCUGAUUACAGCAUGGGCAAGUGCGACUGUGUAGCCAAGGAACGAGGUGGGGGUAAGUGACGGAAAAAUACUAGGAGGAAACAUCAGGGAUAAGGGCAGAUUCUGGCUAAUUUCCACCUAAUAGGGUGCUUGCUGAAGGCAGGCUAGCAGGAUCAGACAUCACUUGGAGAGUGGUGGAGGAUGGGGAACCCAAUCAGAUAUCAAGGGUGAUCAGAUAUUAAAGGUAGGGGGUUCUGGUUAAAUCAGCUUAGCAGGAUUUUUGCUAGAAUUGGACAAUGUAGAGGAAAUGGAAAUCCCAAAAUCAGACCUAGUUGAAAAGUAAUUCAGGGUUCCUGAGUAGAGUUCAUUCAAGGAAAGAAUCUUUGCCGGGGAGAAGAAAGGUUGUGAAGGAUGGGGUGUUUGUGUGAAGAUAGAAAUCAGCCAAGAUAGAUCAUGAAGCAACUUAGAAGAAUAGUACAAUGCACAAGUAAAUUAAUUCACCAUUCUUCAUUUUGUUAAAGAGUAAAGACCUGGCUCACACAAGUACAAAGUGUGCAUGUGGAGAUGUUGCAUCUUUGACCUUCCAGGACAUCUCGUGCAGGCUUACGAUGACAGGAAGGACAAGUGUGGCCUGCCCUGCUCAGACCUUCGUAGGCUCUGCAGAUCACAGAGUGCAUGUGUCUCCAGAUCAGUGAGCACUCUGGAGUUGCAGAGGGUCUGCAAAUAUUCCAUGCUGUUCAUCAUAUAAACCUGGGGACAAUGCCAUCACAAGAGCACUGCUAGCAUAGUAAGAAAGUAUACCCCAAAAACCAUGAGAUGCAGGUGUUGUGUAACCAGAAGAGGUAAUUAAGUUGGAGCUUCAGAAUGAAGUAGCUGGGCCAGAAGAGGCUUGAUCAGCUGCAACUUGAAGCUCCCUGCCCCCUGGCAGAGCCUCACCUUGGAUAGACAAGAUACCUCCAGUCUCAGUACUGGGACACUGGCAAAGCCAGACUCAAUGACCAUCAUUCAGCCUCUCAUCUCCUGGUAACAUUUUCUGGAAAUACAUUUUUUAAAUUAUUUGCACGGUGUAACUUCUAUAAGAUCGAUGUGUCAGAGUGCCGACUUUUACUUAGAUUCUAUGUGACUCUUUCAACAAAUUCAUUCUUUCAGCAAAUAUGCAUUGAAUACCUAGCAUGCGCUGGGUCUUGCUCUAGGUGCUGAGGAUACUGUGGCCUCCCAGUCAGGCAGUGUGACAGGGAGAACCACGACUGUGCGUAGGUUAUUCUCCUCUGACCUCACAACCUUUUUGAUGUACAUGUGGUCAUCUCCAUUCCGCAAUGCAGCCACAGGCUGGGAGGGUGGAGCCUGAUAUAAGCCAGGCCCAUUGACUCCAAACCCAGGUCCUCCUGCAUCCUCACAGGCUUCUUUCUGAUUCUGCAUCCUCCUUUCUAGAUCAACCCAGAACGCCAUGACCGCAGGCUGAAUCACUUCAGGGUCUGCAGUGACAUCACUCUGUACAAGGCUAAAACGUGGGGCUUAGGAGAUGAUCACCACAAGUAGCAUCCCAGCGGAUGAGCCCAUCUGUGGAUCUAAUGCCUUAAGUGUGCACAGCCCAGAGAAAUAAAAUACUACUUUAAAACGAAGUUUCACUUUUCUCAUUUCUGGUCAAGUCCACUGAUUGAAAUCCUUGUGUGGUAAAGCAAUGUGAGAAAUCAGAUAAAGAUGGUG
This 2188-nucleotide long non-coding RNA is filed under the name Homo sapiens (human). RNAcentral's name for it is "HSALNT0291803". The record is from RNAcentral. Lineage: Eukaryota; Metazoa; Chordata; Mammalia; Primates; Hominidae.